ACGAGUUAGGGUCUUCCAGGCCCGACCUCCCAACCCUAUGUUUAUUGAACCUCUGUUGCUUCGGCGGACCCGUCUCACGGCCGCCGGAGGACCGCCCCGCGGCGUCCUCUGGCCAGCGUCCGCCGAUAGCCAACCACUCAAAACUCUGAAUGAAUCGUGUCAUGAUGUCUAAGUCUAUGAUUAAAUUAAAGCA
Molecule: unclassified non-coding RNA, 193 nt
Filed under: uncultured Cladophialophora
Lineage: Eukaryota; Fungi; Ascomycota; Eurotiomycetes; Chaetothyriales; Herpotrichiellaceae
Description: sequence contains ITS1
Source: RNAcentral